GUAAGGCUGAGCUGUGAUGGGGAGUGAAAAUUACAGUAGCGAAGGUCAUGAUCUCACACUGCCAAGAAAAGCCUCUAGCCAGGUGAUGGUGCCCGUACCGCAAACCGACACAGGUAGGCGAGAAGAGUAUUCUAAGGCGCGCGGAAGAACUCUCGUUAAGGAACUCGGCAAAAUGACCCCGUAACUUCGGGAGAAGGGGUGCCCCGGUAGUGUGAAUAGCACGAGGGGGCCGCAGUGAAAAGGCCCAAGCGACUGUUUAGCAAAAACACAGGUCUGUGCGAAGCCGUAAGGCGAAGUAUACGGGCUGACGCCUGCCCGGUGCUGGAAGGUUAAGGGGAGUGGUUAGGGAGCAAUCCCGAAGCUGUGAACCGAAGCCCCAGUAAACGGCGGCCGUAACUAUAACGGUCCUAAGGUAGCGAAAUUCCUUGUCAGGUAAAUUCUGACCCGCACGAAUGGCGUAACGACUUGGGCGCUGUCUCAACGAGAGAUCCGGUGAAAUUUUAAUACCUGUGAAGAUGCAGGUUACCCGCGACAAGACGGAAAGACCCCAUGGAGCUUUACUGCAGCUUGAUAUUGAAUUUGGGUACGAUCUGUACAGGAUAGGUGGGAGCCUUUGAAG
Molecule: ribosomal RNA, 619 nt
Filed under: Subtercola boreus
Lineage: Bacteria; Bacillati; Actinomycetota; Actinomycetes; Micrococcales; Microbacteriaceae
Description: bacterial LSU rRNA
Rfam family: Bacterial large subunit ribosomal RNA
Source: RNAcentral